RNAcentral lists this transfer RNA (85 nucleotides) under Rhizobium sp. AC44/96. RNAcentral describes it as "tRNA-Leu". It matches the Rfam family "tRNA". Rfam says of the family: Transfer RNA (tRNA) molecules are approximately 80 nucleotides in length. Their secondary structure includes four short double-helical elements and three loops (D, anti-codon, and T loops). RNAcentral also lists the same sequence under 10 other names. Lineage: Bacteria; Pseudomonadati; Pseudomonadota; Alphaproteobacteria; Hyphomicrobiales; Rhizobiaceae. The record is from RNAcentral.
GCGGGCGUGGCGAAACUGGUAGACGCAAGGGACUUAAAAUCCCUCGGCCUUGGCUGUGCGGGUUCGACCCCCGCCGCCCGCACCA